Drosophila obscura is the source of this 628-nucleotide long non-coding RNA. RefSeq lists it as uncharacterized. Lineage: Eukaryota; Metazoa; Arthropoda; Insecta; Diptera; Drosophilidae. The transcript has 3 exons. The record is from RefSeq and is a predicted model, not a curated record.
GCAAACAACCCUGAAGGAUCUGCCGGUUAGAGGAGACCUUCGUGCCACACUCUGUCAAAAGCUUCCUGAACGUCCAUAUAAACUGCUGAACAGUGCAUUUUCUUCUCGUGUGCCUGUAGGAUGAACUGGGUGACUCUGCCAAUUUGCUGUUCUGCUGAGUGCUGUUCACGAAAACCAAACUGAUGGUUUGGAAUAGAACUAGCAAAGCUGCUUACCUCAAACAAUCGACCCAGUAGGAGGCGCUCGAGAAGCUUAGAUAGCCCAGAGAGAAGACUGAUUGGCCUGUAGGAUGCCAGCUGAUCCGGGGGUUUGCCUGGCUUCGGUAUCAUGGUGACCGUGGCAGUCUUCCAUGCUUUUGGAUAAUGGCCAAAUUUGAGAGCAGCAUUAAAGAUGAGCGUCAACUCCAGAUCGGAACGUAGUAUGGCGUCAGAAAGGUAUGACACUUAACUCUGAUACUCCAACAGGGCUGGAGUAAAGAGUAAGGAUACCAUCACCUGACGUUCUAUUUUUUUUUUUUGAUUUAAGUGCCGGCAGUGCGUGCACAUUUGGGCUGUUGAUCGAUGUGACCGUACAGCUUUUCUUUUAUUUGUUCGCAAUAAGAAUAUACUGCUUAUACAAAUAUUACAAA